Non-coding RNA from Ceratotherium simum simum (southern white rhinoceros), 136 nucleotides. Lineage: Eukaryota; Metazoa; Chordata; Mammalia; Perissodactyla; Rhinocerotidae. The record is from RefSeq and is a predicted model, not a curated record.
AGAUUUUUCUUGUUUGUUGAGGUGGGUCUGUAUUGCUCUACACUUCCCUCCUAGAACUUCUUUUGCUGUAUGGCAUAAAUUCUGGGAUAUCAUAUCUUCAUUUUCAUUUGUCUCCAGGUAAUUUUAAAAAUUUUUC